Long non-coding RNA from Ictalurus punctatus (channel catfish), 910 nucleotides. RefSeq lists it as uncharacterized. NCBI's taxonomy places the organism in Eukaryota, Metazoa, Chordata, Actinopteri, Siluriformes, Ictaluridae. The transcript has 4 exons. The record is from RefSeq and is a predicted model, not a curated record.
AUGACUAUAAAUUAUAUCAAGAAUGAAAGUGUUUGUCAGACUAUUUUUAUCUAACCUUAUACAGACAUACCCACCUUAAAAGUACAGAGCCAUUGUAUAUGAAGCAUUAUAAUCAUUACCCCACAUGCAUACACCACAUACUGUAACUCAAACAAUGUGUGACAAGCAAUUGUCCAUAGGACAAAUGAUGAUAGCUCUACUCAUCAUUACGCAAGUCCAGACUUUUUUUUUAUGUGGACAUGUCGAGCAAACAUCAACCCACUGCCAUACUAAUACUAGGAGACAUGUCGUAUUGUUCCUGAGUUACAGCACCAGAAGAGGAAGAACUCCAGCAAAUAGUUUUGGGGAAUCAAAAGACAGAUGGCAACAUAGAGAGCGAGGCAGAUGUACCGAGACGGAAAGCUGCGGGAAGAUACUUGAUGGAAGAUUUCCCAACGAGAGACGCAUAUCACCCAGAGCAAUACCAAUACAAAUGCUACGCUCCAUGUCUUUGAGGUAGAAUCCAAUGUAGAAAAGGCUGAGAUAUGAAUUUACAAACUGAAACUGCAAGACAGAGGUUAAAGGAAAAUGCGGCUGAAACACCUUGUUGAUGAGAGAGCUCAGAGGAGAAUGACCAGACUGGUUUGAGAUGACUGGAAGUCUACAAUAACUCAAAUAAGCACUCUUUACAACCGUGUGACUGUUAUGUGUGACAAUCUCAAGAGAUCAGCAGUUUCUGAAACACUCAAACCAGCCCUUACCACGAUACCAACAACCAUGCCAUGAUCAAAGUCACAGACAUCACACUUUUUCUUCAUUCUGAUGUUUGACGUGAACUGAAUUUUGUGCAUUUUACUGCUGCCACAUGAUUGGCUGAUUAGUUAACUGCAUGAAUGUGCAGAUGUAAAUGUGUUCCUAAUAAAGUAGACAG